UGGGGAAUAUUGCACAAUGGGGGAAACCCUGAUGCAGCGACGCCGCGUGAGUGAGGAAGUAUUUCGGUAUGUAAAGCUCUAUCAGCAGGGAAGAAGAAAUGACGGUACCUGACUAAGAAGCCCCGGCUAACUACGUGCCAGCAGCCGCGGUAAUACGUAGGGGGCAAGCGUUAUCCGGAUUUACUGGGUGUAAAGGGAGCGCAGGCGGCAUGAUAAGUCUGAUGUGAAAACCCAAGGCUCAACCAUGGGACUGCAUUGGAAACUGUCGUGCUGGAGUGUCGGAGAGGUAAGCGGAAUUCCUAGUGUAGCGGUGAAAUGCGUAGAUAUUAGGAGGAACACCAGUGGCGAAGGCGGCUUACUGGACGAUGACUGACGCUGAGGCUCGAAAGCGUGGGGAGCAAACAGG
Molecule: ribosomal RNA, 406 nt
Filed under: uncultured Roseburia sp.
Lineage: Bacteria; Bacillati; Bacillota; Clostridia; Lachnospirales; Lachnospiraceae
Description: bacterial SSU rRNA
Rfam family: Bacterial small subunit ribosomal RNA
Source: RNAcentral